Molecule: long non-coding RNA, 671 nt
Organism: Saccostrea cuccullata (small rock oyster)
Lineage: Eukaryota; Metazoa; Mollusca; Bivalvia; Ostreida; Ostreidae
Exons: 3
Source: RefSeq, a predicted model, not a curated record
ACGAUUACCACCGAACAAUCCCGAAGAGUUUCUGAAUCAUUGAAUUUUCAGCCAUCUUGAAUUUUAACAAGGUGCCCGUCUGGUGAAGGAGAGAGAAAAAGAACUCGUUUAGCUCUAAUCUUUCAGAAUCUUGAUAACUACAGACAAUGGGCUCCUGGGAUGCUUAUGUCAAUGUCUUUAAGGGUGAUGGAAGUACUAUGUUGAAGUGUGGAAUAUAUGAUCAGGAAGGAAAUCCAUGGGCUUUGUCACCAGGAAUGUCUGCAAGUCCAGCCCAAGUAAAACGACUUGCCUCACACUAUGAAGAUAGCUCAGAUUUUUAUAUAAAUGGGCCAGAGUUUGAGAAUUCCAAGUUCGCCUUUCUCAAAAAAGUAGAAGAUGGUGGAAAUCCAGUCCUGGUCUUUAAACGGAAGGAUGCUGAAUCAGAGGAAGAUAAGCAUCUAUUGGUAGCAAUGAAUACAGUGAAAGCUUGCUUAGUUGGAAUAGCAAAGGGAGGAGAAAAACACAAAAGCGUAGCAAUAAACUUAAUUAGGCAUGUCAACGAAUCAAUGAGAAAAUAUGAUUAUUGAAUGUGAACCAGAUGUAGAAAGUUUAAGUGCUAAAAUAUUUGAAGAUGUUUUACAGCAAAUGACAGCAAGGUCAAUCUUUUUUUUCAUUCUAUGUAUGAUUUUAAU